Molecule: ribosomal RNA, 457 nt
Filed under: Rubyspira pescaprae
Lineage: Eukaryota; Metazoa; Mollusca; Gastropoda
Description: partial large subunit ribosomal RNA
Rfam family: Bacterial large subunit ribosomal RNA
Source: RNAcentral
GGAGUCGGACCUGCCCAGUGACAAGUUUAACGGCCGCAGUACUCUGACUGUGCAAAGGUAGCAUAAUCAUUUGCCCUAUAAUUGAGGGCUAGUAUGAAUGGUUUGACAAGAGUAAUACUGUCUCUUUAAAGAUUUUUUAGAAUUUAAUUUUUAGGUGAAGAAUCCUAAAUAUAAUUAAAAGACAAGAAGACCCUAUCGAGCUUUAAAAAAAUAGGUAAAUUAAAUUUAUAUAUAGCAUAUAUAUUAUUACUUAAAAUUUUGGUUGGGGCGACUAAGGAACAUAUAAAGCUUCUUCUAAAAAAUUAAGCUUACUCGCUUUGAUCCAGUAAAAUACUGAUUAAAAGAAUUAGUUACCGUAGGGAUAACAGCAUAAUCUUCUUCAAGAGUUCAUAUCGAAAAGAAGGUUUGUGACCUCGAUGUUGGACUAGAAUAUCCUAAAGAUGCAGAAGUCUUUAAG